Long non-coding RNA from Hyla sarda, 209 nucleotides. RefSeq lists it as uncharacterized. The transcript has 3 exons. Lineage: Eukaryota; Metazoa; Chordata; Amphibia; Anura; Hylidae. The record is from RefSeq and is a predicted model, not a curated record.
AGUUAUUACCGUCCUGUUCUGCUGAUUCUGGGCAGUGAGUCACAUCAUAAACACGAUUGCCUCAUUGUUAGGCGAUGGAACUUUGGAAAACACCUACAAUUCAGAUGCCGCAAUCGAGAUCUAAUUUCAUUCACAAAAGCCGAAAUCCAUUUACAGGAAAUGUAGAGGGCGCUAUAAGCUGCUUUGCAGGUGAUUGUCAAAAAUCUGAA